AGAGUUUGAUCAUGGCUCAGAUUGAACGCUGGCGGCAGGCUUAACACAUGCAAGUCGAGCGGGGAAGGUUGCUUCGGUAACUGACCUAGCGGCGGACGGGUGAGUAAUACUUAGGAAUCUGCCUAUUAAUGGGGGACAACAUCUCGAAAGGGAUGCUAAUACCGCAUACGCCCUACGGGGGAAAGCAGGGGAUCACUUGUGACCUUGCGUUAAUAGAUGAGCCUAAGUCGGAUUAGCUAGUUGGUGGGGUAAAGGCCUACCAAGGCGACGAUCUGUAGCGGGUCUGAGAGGAUGAUCCGCCACACUGGGACUGAGACACGGCCCAGACUCCUACGGGAGGCAGCAGUGGGGAAUAUUGGACAAUGGGGGGAACCCUGAUCCAGCCAUGCCGCGUGUGUGAAGAAGGCCUUAUGGUUGUAAAGCACUUUAAGCGAGGAGGAGGCUCUUUUGGUUAAUACCCAAGAUGAGUGGACGUUACUCGCAGAAUAAGCACCGGCUAACUCUGUGCCAGCAGCCGCGGUAAUACAGAGGGUGCGAGCGUUAAUCGGAUUUACUGGGCGUAAAGCGUGCGUAGGCGGCUUUUUAAGUCGGAUGUGAAAUCCCCGAGCUUAACUUGGGAAUUGCAUUCGAUACUGGGAAGCUAGAGUAUGGGAGAGGAUGGUAGAAUUCCAGGUGUAGCGGUGAAAUGCGUAGAGAUCUGGAGGAAUACCGAUGGCGAAGGCAGCCAUCUGGCCUAAUACUGACGCUGAGGUACGAAAGCAUGGGGAGCAAACAGGAUUAGAUACCCUGGUAGUCCAUGCCGUAAACGAUGUCUACUAGCCGUUGGGGUCUUUGAGACUUUAGUGGCGCAGCUAACGCGAUAAGUAGACCGCCUGGGGAGUACGGUCGCAGACUAAACUCAAUGAUUGACGGAUCGUCGACCUGCAGCAUGCAGCUUGCACUGGCGUCGUUUACACGUCGUGACUGCA
This 968-nucleotide ribosomal RNA is filed under the name uncultured bacterium. RNAcentral's name for it is "bacterial SSU rRNA". It matches the Rfam family "Bacterial small subunit ribosomal RNA". The record is from RNAcentral.